UUUUCUGGGAUCGCUAAUUAUUGUCGUUUGACUGUAUUUUAUUUUCAAAAAAUCAUUUCAUAUUCGACGUGCGAUCAGUGUAAUGUUUAUUUCCGUACUCCUCCAGGUAUUCUCGAGACUCGCGUGGGCCAUACGUGAGGAACUCGCGAGUAGCAGAAAACCUCCCAACCUGCUUUGCAAAUACAGUUCCGCCAUGUUGUGAACAAGGCCAAUAAGCCAACUAAAUGUGCUUUUCGUCUCAUUCUUCCUUUGUAGGGAGAACUUUCAAUUUACCAUUCAAUAUAAAUUUAUUCCCAGGUGAAGCAUGAUGCCGAUUGUUUCAAAAAGUGUUCGACUCCCGUAGCAAACUACAGCAAACUAAUAAAAAAAGUUGGCGCGUGAUUCAAAUGAGUUCAAAAAUCAUCCAGAAUGAGAUGGAUGUAUUUCAUUUCAGUUCCCAUCACCAUAAUGAUGAUUGCUGUUAAGCUUACAAUGAAGAAUUCAGUGAGAACACUUGCCCAGGUGGAUACAAAUAGGGACAAAACAAGAAGAGGAUAAACUCAUAAGUGAUGAUUUUAUUGCAAUCCAGAACGUAGGUAGGACGCUUUUUCAGUCUCGAAGAGUAGCUGAGGCCUGGAUGGACUGUUAAUAACCUGAAGAUGAAUUAAUCAUACACUAUGGAUGAUGUCUGAGAGGGACUAGCCAAUAGGUUUUAUAUUUCUACCGAAUAGUGUAUGUACCAGUGACAGGUUAGAUAUCUCUUACUUCUAAGAAAGAGUUUUUGGAAUCGGACUGUGUUGGAAAGAGUAUUUCAAAGGAGUCAUGACGCGAUAGUCAAAUUGUCUACCAGAAGGCAACUUGAACACGUCGGUUUAUAAUCACCAUUUAGGAAUCAGGAUGGUUAGGACUGGGAAAGAUUACGGCCGAUAAUAUUUCGAAUGUCUCACCGUCACGCAACGCUACGCCCUCGUGAGAAAGGGCCCUCUCUGCCGAGAGCGAAGCGUUGCGUGACAGAGAAGUGCCCAGAAAGGGGGUUUUCACUGGCUCUGUGUGAUGAAUUAAUAGGGAGUUUAAGAAAACCACGACGGCAACGGCAACGGCAACCUCACUGAACAAAAGGUUC
Molecule: long non-coding RNA, 1102 nt
Organism: Orbicella faveolata
Lineage: Eukaryota; Metazoa; Cnidaria; Anthozoa; Scleractinia; Merulinidae
Source: RefSeq, a predicted model, not a curated record